CAGGUUUACCUGUGUGACUGCGUACCUUUUGUAUAAUGGGUCAGCGACUUAUAUUCUGUAGCAAGGUUAACCGAAUAGGGGAGCCGGAGGGAAACCGAGUCUUAAUUGGGCGUUAAGUUGCAGGGUAUAGACCCGAAACCCGGUGAUCUAGCCAUGGGCAGGUUGAAGGUUGGGUAACACUAACUGGAGGACCGAACCGACUAAUGUUGAAAAAUUAGCGGAUGACCUGUGGCUGGGGGUGAAAGGCCAAUCAAACCGGGAGAUAGCUGGUUCUCCCCGAAAGCUAUUUAGGUAGCGCCUCGUGAAUUCAUCUCCGGGGGUAGAGCACUGUUUCGGCUAGGGGGCCAUCCCGGCUUACCAACCCGAUGCAAACUGCGAAUACCGGAGAAUGUUAUCACGGGAGACACACGGCGGGUGCUAACGUCCGUCGUGAAGAGGGAAACAACCCAGACCGCCAGCUAAGGUCCCAAAGUCAUGGUUAAGUGGGAAACGAUGUGGGAAGGCCCAGACAGCCAGGAUGUUGGCUUAGAAGCAGCCAUCAUUUAAAGAAAGCGUAAUAGCUCACUGGUCGAGUCGGCCUGCGCGGAAGAUGUAACGGGGCUAAACCAUGCACCGAAGCUGCGGCAGCGACA
This 632-nucleotide ribosomal RNA is filed under the name Salmonella enterica subsp. enterica serovar Senftenberg. RNAcentral describes it as "partial 23S ribosomal RNA". It matches the Rfam family "Bacterial large subunit ribosomal RNA", at positions 580 to 1213 of the family's 2925-position model. The record is from RNAcentral. Lineage: Bacteria; Pseudomonadati; Pseudomonadota; Gammaproteobacteria; Enterobacterales; Enterobacteriaceae.